Molecule: ribosomal RNA, 450 nt
Filed under: uncultured bacterium
Lineage: Bacteria
Description: partial 16S ribosomal RNA
Rfam family: Bacterial small subunit ribosomal RNA
Source: RNAcentral
CCUACGGGGGGCUGCAGUGGGGAAUUUUGGACAAUGGGGGCAACCCUGAUCCAGCCAUGCCGCGUGCGGGAAGAAGGCCUUCGGGUUGUAAACCGCUUUUGUCAGGGAAGAAAUCUUCCGAGCUAAUACCUUGGGAGGAUGACGGUACCUGAAGAAUAAGCACCGGCUAACUACGUGCCAGCAGCCGCGGUAAUACGUAGGGGACUAGCGUUGCUCGGAAUUAGCGGGGGCGGUGGUGGCGCAGGCGGUUGAAAUCCCCGGGCUUAACCUGGGAACUGCACUUGUGACUGUACGGCUGGAGUACGGCAGAGGGGGAUGGAAUUCCGCGUGUAGCAGUGAAAUGCGUAGAUAUGCGGAGGAACACCGAUGGCGAAGGCAGUCCCCUGGGCCUGUACUGACGCUCAUGCACGAAAGCGUGGGGAGCAAACAGGAUUAGAUACCCCUGUAGUC